Molecule: long non-coding RNA, 606 nt
Organism: Rattus norvegicus (Norway rat)
Lineage: Eukaryota; Metazoa; Chordata; Mammalia; Rodentia; Muridae
Source: RefSeq, a predicted model, not a curated record
UAUAUAUAGCAGGUCUCAAAAAUAAAAAUAUAACGUGUGAUCUCACAAUUCUGUCGUUUCCAUGGUAAUUAAAACAUAAUGAAGGAGUCGACAGCUGUCCAAGUCUGGUGAUGUUCACCCAGUAAACAGAAAUGUUCCCAAGAGUCUCCAAAGAUGUGGCCCUGUCCAUAUCCUGUCAAUUCAUCUGCCAGCCUGGAGACACUGAGCCUUGGCAACGAGGACAGGAAUGGCAUCACAAUCAGGCAAGGUCAGAGUGUCAGAGCUGUGCCCAGGUUCAGCACAGAUCAGCAGAUGCCAGAGGGAAAGUGUCUACAUUUGCCCUUGCUCUAAUGCCAGCAUUGAAGCCUCAAAUCUACCAAGGAGCUAGAAAACUCAGGAACCAUCACUGCCCUACCGUCCUCACCAAGUACAGCACUGAUCUUCCACUCAGUAUGAGAAGACAGAAGCACUGACAGGAGCCAGGCACACAGGCCGUGCAGCAGGGACUCCGUGGCUGGCACACUAGAGUGGAAGACCUUGAACCUCCUAAAUUCUGAAUCAUGUGACUACAUUACUAUUCAAAGAUGACACACAUGGAUUAAAGGAAAGCACACUCCUGUCUGGAAA